AUGGAAGCAGCCGCCAAAAAUGGUUAUCAAACUAAUCCUGAUAUAGUACAAAAUGAAAAACCGGAACAAGGUUAUAUAAAAUUUAAUUCGAAUGGUAACUUAUUUAGUAGUUCAUCCUUUAGUUCUAAUAAAAACUCAUAUACAAAUAAUGUUACUACUGCUGGUGCUACAAAAAAAAAAAAAAAAAAAAAAGUUGGUUCAAGUCAAAGUGACAGUAAUGGCAGUAAUGACAGCCAUGGUAGUAACUCCAAACAAAAUAAACAAUUUUCUCCCUUUUUCUUUAAUUCAUCAUUUAAUAAAGACAAAAAUGAUAAUACUUCAGAUACUGCCAAAUUAGAAAAAGAAAAACCGCAAUUUGAUUUAGGUUUGUCUCAAAUGCUCCCAUCUAAUGAUAAAAUAAAAGGUGAUUUCCCUUCUUCGUUUUUUAAUUUUCUGGACGAUAAAAAUGUUCAAAAAGGUACUAAUGGAAGCGACAGAGGAAGUAGCAAGGACAAUGCGUUUUUACGAAAUGGUUUUAAUAAAAACGACUUAUGUCACAAAACGAAUGACGAGACAGAACAGAAAAAGGAGACAGAGCAGAAAGAACAGACGGAACAGAAAGAACAGACAGAACAGAAAGAACAGAAAGGGGAGACGGAACAAAAAAGUACUAGUGCAGAAUUAAAAGAAAGAAAUAAAAAUGAACAUAAUGAAAACCAUGAUCAUGAAAAAAUGGCCGAUGCCAUUCUUAAACACAUAAAAAAAAAAUUAAAGAACGAGAUGGGUACGUCUUUUAUGCAAAGCUGGGGAUGUAAUAUUUUUAUGAACUCAAAAAAUGACGACAUAAAAAAUGACGAUACAGAAAUAUCCAAAAGUGAAAAUAUCAAAUCCUUAGAAUCAGGUGAAUUAAAACAGAAAUACAAAGAACUACUUGUAAAAAAAAACAAAAACAGAAACAAACAAAUAUAUAAUAAAAUAAAAAAUGAACUAAAAAAGACAAGAAAUUUAAAUAAUGUGGAUAAAAAAUUAAAUGAUUUCAUAGAAGAACAUAAAAAAAUGAAUGAUUACCAUUUAAAAAAGUUUAAUAAAGAAAUUGCUCAAAUUGAUCGUACAAGCGUUGACACUGUACGUACAAGCGUUGACACUGUACGUGCUGGCGCUGGUGCGGGUGCGGGUGCUGUAACUUUGCGUGAAACAGACAUAACUAUGAAGUUGUUAUUUGACAAUUAUGAAAAUGAAAGUAACAAAUCGAGUAGCAUUGAAAAUAAAACUAUCAUAACCCACGAUUCAGAUGGUAUUACUUCUGUUACAGAUUUAGAUGAUAAUAAAAAUGGAGAGAUUUUCAAACACAACCAAAAGCAGAAGCAGAAGCAGAAGCAGGAGCAGAACAAGAAGCAGAACAAGAAGCAGAACAAGAAGCAGAACAAGAAGCAGAAAAGUGACAAAGUAACAAUAAAUGAUGAUGAUAAACCGAACGAUCAUGACACAUAUGAAGAGUUACAUUCAACCUAUAGCGAUUUUACAUUUUCUAAAAGUGAAAAUAAUAAUAAAAAAAAUUUAAAACAUCAUAUAAAAAGAGAAAACGAAAUAAGUUUGUUAAACAGGUAUGAUGAAAAUGAAGACAUUUACAUGAUAAAUGAGUCGAGCUACGAACAAGGUAAAGACAUACGGCGUACUAUCCUCCAAACCGACAAUGACAAAAACAGAAGCAGUAGUAGUAGCAGUGGUAGUAGUGGUAGCAGUGGUAGUGGUAGUGGUAGUGGUAGUGGUAGUGGUAGUGGUAGUGGUANNNNNNNNNNUGGUAGUGGUAGUGGUAGUGGUAGUGGUAGUGGUAGUGGUAGUGGUAAAUCCAACACAAACUCGCUAAACAAUUACAAUGAUAGCAACUACAAAAACUAUCUAUUAAUUAAUAAUAAAAAAAAAACGCUACAAACAGCAAUGUGCAAACAAAAUGUAAUAAAAAAAAUUAAAGAAAAAAAAAAAAAGAGUAAUGCCAAAUUAAAUAAACAGGAAAUAAUACAAAAAGAAAUAAAUAAAGGAAAGCAAUUUUAUAAAUUCAUAUAUCCACUUACUCCCUAUGAAUUAUAUGUUAUUAAUAAAUUUUACAAUCAUGGAAUAAAAAAAAAACCAACACAAAUAGAGGACUAUAGCUCUGUUCUUUGUUUAUCUAAUAAAACAACGAAUAAAUAUAUGUUAAAAAAUAAUAUCAUAAGAAAUUUUAUUAAUUUAAAUUAUAUACAGUAUAAAAUAGAUACUAUGAAGCUAUUACUAAAAAAUAGUUUAAAAUAUAUAUGCGAAAAAAAAUACACAAAAGCUUUAAAACUAUGCAUAAAAAACUCUCAGUAUAUUAAUAAUUUUAUAUCUAGCUAUUGUAUUAUUAAAAAGAGAACCGCAUCUAGUGUUGUUGACACAAAUAAUAGUAAUAGUAAUAGUAGCCGUGGCAGUAGCGGUAGUAGUGGCAGUAGUAGUGGCAGUAGUAGCGACAUCAAUGCCUCCUGCUGCAGCAAAAAUCCUUAUACGUACACAGAAAUUUAUCUAAUUAUAAAUAACAAAAAAAAAAUCACAAUAAACCAAUUACAAACGAUUUUAAAAAAAAACGUCAAGCAUAUUAUCAUAUGUAAAAUAUUAACACUAAUAAAUAAAUAUAAGUAUUUUAAAUAUACUGAAAAUUCAUCUAUUAUUUUAGUUUUAUAUCUAGUAUUAUGUAGAAUAAUACCUAAAUGCAAACUAUUAAAUUUGAUAUUAAAAAAAUGUAUAGAACUUUUAUUUUUUAGAGGGUGUUUGUAUUUGGUUACCACAAUAUGUGAUUUUUUAUUUUUAUUUUUUCCUAAUGAAAAAUAUAAUAAUAUAAUAUAUGAAAUAUAUAAGCUUUCUAAAAAUAGUUUUCUUCGAUAUUCAACAGUUUACAAAAGUAAUAAGUUUACAUUAAUAAAAAAUCAUAAUCUUAAUUAUGAUACAUGUAUAAAACUAUUUUCGCCCGAAUGGGGUUAUUACAUAUACGCUACUAGCAAUUUCAAUAUAUUCCCUUCUACAAUUAAAUUUAAUGGUUUCUUAAAAAAACAAACUGAUUUUUCUCACAUAAUAACAGAACAAACAUAUAAGUCUUUCUCUGAUGAUAUUUCAUUUGCACCUAUUAAUUUAAAUGAGAAAAGCCAAGCGAAUAGUGUUGUCCAUACUCACGAGCAAAAAACAGAAAAUUCCUUGAUCAAUGACUCAAUUAUGAAUGGUACUACUACCAAACUGGAUGAUACUCAUAAUAAUAACAAAAAAAAAGAAAAAAAACUUACCAUUCAAGACAAAGAACAAAAUACUUUUAUGCAAACGCGUACGAAUAAUGAUAGUAAAAAUGGAAAAAAAGAAAAAAUGGAAACUGAACGGAAUGAGAAAAUUGGGAAGGAUGAACAUAGUGGGAAGGAUGAACAUAGUGGGAAGGAUGAACAGAGUGGGAGAGAUGAACAGAGUGGGAGAGAUGAACAGAGUGGGAAGGAUGAACAGAGUGGGAGAGAUGAACAGAGUGGGAGAGAUAAGCAGAAAACAGCUUUAUACAAAUAUAUGCUCGAUCAUCAAAAAAAAACUCGACAUUAUUAUAUUAUUAGUGAUACUAUGAAACGAGUCGAGUUUAAUCGUGAAAAGACAAACUAUAACUUGGAAACGUUUGUAAAAAUAGACAAUGAAAAAAGAAAGAAACAACAGGAGCAGGCAGAAAUACACUUAUACGCACAAAAUGACACAUGUUUAAAGAUGAAAAAAUAUAACUAUCAAAAUACACAACUAUUAGGAAUGUGUCCUAAUUGUAAUAACACAUUAACCAAUUUUGGAAACACAUGUUUAGUAUGCCAACAACAUAUAUAUAUAUGUCAUUACUUGUUUAUUUGUUGUACAUACAAAUACCAUUGCCAGCUGUGUGACGCAACUUACUCCGAGAAGGUAAUAUAG
Molecule: long non-coding RNA, 3915 nt
Organism: Piliocolobus tephrosceles (Ugandan red Colobus)
Lineage: Eukaryota; Metazoa; Chordata; Mammalia; Primates; Cercopithecidae
Source: Ensembl